GUUCCCAUGCCGAACACGGAAGUUAAGCUCUUUAGCGCCGAUGGUAGUUGGGGGUUUCCCCCUGUGAGAGUAGGACGUUGCUAGGC
This 86-nucleotide ribosomal RNA is filed under the name Viridibacillus arenosi. RNAcentral also lists the same sequence under 1 other name. Lineage: Bacteria; Bacillati; Bacillota; Bacilli; Caryophanales; Caryophanaceae. The record is from RNAcentral.